Canis lupus familiaris (dog) is the source of this 2652-nucleotide long non-coding RNA. RefSeq lists it as uncharacterized. The transcript has 6 exons. NCBI's taxonomy places the organism in Eukaryota, Metazoa, Chordata, Mammalia, Carnivora, Canidae. The record is from RefSeq and is a predicted model, not a curated record.
CGCGCCGGGAGGAGCGGGCUGGGCCUCAGGCUGAGGUGGGGUCCUCGCCCCAACGGCGCGAGCUCGGAGGCCUCAGGCCCCGCCGGGGAGGAGAAGGAAGGAAAGGGGAGGCGCAGCUCGCGUGCGGUUGACUGCUGGGGCGUGUGGGGGGUCGGUCUCCGGAGGGCCCGUGAGGGACGGUCGGCGUGGGCGCCUGUGGAGAGUCCAGUGUCGGUGCCGUGUGGCCUCCCUUGGGGCAGCACCGUUGAGGCGCCGGUUCGUUUGUGGGCUCCUCUUCCUCAGGGCCCUUUGUGGCUCCACGCGGUUUGAGGGUUGUCUCUGCGCCGUGUUUUCUGUGCAAAUGCCGUUGGGAGUUGGAUCAGCAUCGCCUUGAACCUGUAGAUCACUUUGGGGCGCGAAAGGCCAUCGUCACCGUGUUAAUUCUUCCAAUCCCACUAUUUGAGAGAGACAGUAGGAAGGAAAUAAUUGUUGGCAAAAACUCUUUUUAAAAUGACCUUCGUAUUCCAACUAUUUCUCUCUGUCCACAUUUGAAAAGAAAAAGAGGACUAAUUCACACUCCAUGAUGGCACACAGAGCUUCGAGUGGAGGAAACCGUUGGCUAAUCCUGAAACUAGCCCAGGAAGAUAAUCGCUCACCAGCCAUAGCCCAGUUACAUUCUGAGCUUACAUACUCAUGUCCGGGUGUGAUCAACGCCAGCCUCUCAACGGGAAGCAUUCAAGAAUACAGUACAUUGUUAAAGGACUGCACCAAAGUGAGAGAGCUGUGAUGAAGUACACGUAUCUUCAUGAGAUGCCCUGCAGUCCCCGCACUAUAUAUCAGAGGCUUGGCACUGGACUCCCUGGCUGAUCAAGAGUGGAGCCUUCAUUCCCAGCACAGCAGAGCAACGGAGCAACAAACAACAACAUGGUUCUGUUUGCUUGGGAAACCCAUUCGAUAAAAGGACACAAGUGAAUCUUCAAGGAGCCUGUGAGCCUAAGGAAGCCUGACUUUGCUCUCAAAGCUUUGGGAUUGCUACUUCUCCGCAGAUCCUCUGACCCAAGCAAAUCUCAAGGCAAGUCUCCAACUCCUCUCUGGUCUGGUUUUUCAUCAGCAAAAUGAGGGGGCUGGACCAAAUGAUCUCUUAGGCCUCAUCCUACUCUAAAAUUUGGCGAUUCUGACCCUGUGACAGUCUUGUAGCCCCCAAGGGACUAACUUUAUUCCUUGCAUUGGUCACAUAUUUUCCAGCAGCCUAAUUUAGACUCUUACAGCCGAAUUGGACCAUAGAUGAUUCCAGUAAAUAAUAAUACUUACACAGUUUGUUAGAAACUGUGAAAUGAUUUUACAUAUAGUAUUUCAUUGGAUCCUUAAAAAAAACAUUAAGGAAGGAAAAGGUAUUAUUCUCCUCAUUUUAUAGCUAUGCUAAGAGAGGUUAAGUCAUAACCGCUAGGGUGACUAGGGCCAGAUCUGAAAAGAAAAAAUUCCAUAUGUGAGUUUCUUAGGCUGCAUGAGGCACAACAUUCAGUAAAGAGAUGUGAGUAUCAUAGAUGGGAAUAGUGAGCAUUCUGGAACCUGCCUCCAAAUUCAAGCAUAUUACAGUCACCUAUGUAAACUCUGAGUGGAGAGACAGACACUCCACAAAGAGAGAGCAUAGAGCUAGAAGUGAUUUUUACUUCUAGGACAAUGACUCUUAGACAAGGGCGGGGGAUGUUCUUCAACUCCUCAGGCAGUGCUCUAAAAGGAGAGAAUGGAAGGUGGAGUGGAUUCACCUUGGGUAGCUAGUGGAAGGUCACUAGUUCAAGCCAGGGACACUGGUGGAAGGCUGGUAGGAAGUAGAGAUUUGGGAUAUUACAGUCUGGGUACUGAGUACUGACUAUACGCCAAGCCCUUGAUAGAGCUCAUGACUGCUGCUUACAACUUAUAUUAUCUUUUGUCCCAGCCUUGAAGAAAUCCUGUGGAGAGUUAGAGAGCCUAUAAAAACCUAAAGAUAGGGUGAGAGAAAUAGGAUCUGCAGCACGGGGGUAUUUACACACACACACACACACACACACACACACACACACAGAAGGUAAGCCUUCCUCUCUGGUGUAUAAUUAAAGAAUUACAAUGCUUAGAGGCAGAGGGCUUCCCCAUCUGAGUGCAGGGCCUGUGGGAGCACAGGAAGUACUAAGAUGACUGGAAGCAAAAUGAAUGACAACAAAAUCAGCAACAGUGUGGGAGUGAGCCAUGGGCAGAGGAGUGGCAAACCCCAAAGAUAUCCCAGUCAGCCCCUGCACCAGGGAUGACAAGAGGGCGGUGGCAACAAUAGCAGAGGUUAAGGGGCAGUAGAGUGUGGGGCCAUAUCAGCUGCUUCAACAGAACAAUCAAGGUUUCUAAGCUCCUCUAGGCUUAGGAAAAGAACAAGACAAGAAAGAUAAAAGAUAAAGGUGUAGAGGGGAUGCGAUUAGAGGCAAACCUCAAGGAAAUCAAAUUUGUAGAUGACACAAAACUAAGAGCAUGGUUAAUAUCAUUUUGAGUCUUAGAUUGGUUGACUUUCAUCACAGACCAACUCUGGGACUGCAAACCCAAGAAGUUGAAAUUUAACAGGAAUAUAUAUAAAUUCCUGGAGAUCCCUGGGUGGCUCAGCGGUUUAGCGCCUGCCUUUGGCCCAAGGCAUGAUCCUGGAGUCCCGGGAUC